UUGCACGCUGGCGGCAUGCCUUACACAUGCAAGUCGAACGGCAGCACGGGUGCUUGCACCUGGUGGCGAGUGGCGAACGGGUGAGUAAUACAUCGGAGCAUGUCCUGUAGUGGGGGAUAGCCCGGCGAAAGCCGGAUUAAUACCGCAUACGAUCUACGGAUGAAAGCGGGGGACCUUCGGGCCUCGCGCUAUAGGGUUGGCCGAUGGCUGAUUAGCUAGUUGGUGGGGUAAAGGCCUACCAAGGCGACGAUCAGUAGCUGGUCUGAGAGGACGACCAGCCACACUGGGACUGAGACACGGCCCAGACUCCUACGGGAGGCAGCAGUGGGGAAUUUUGGACAAUGGGCGAAAGCCUGAUCCAGCAAUGCCGCGUGUGUGAAGAAGGCCUUCGGGUUGUAAAGCACUUUUGUCCGGAAAGAAAUCCUUGGCCCUAAUACGGUCGGGGGAUGACGGUACCGGAAGAAUAAGCACCGGCUAACUACGU
Molecule: ribosomal RNA, 484 nt
Filed under: uncultured bacterium
Lineage: Bacteria
Description: partial 16S ribosomal RNA
Rfam family: Bacterial small subunit ribosomal RNA
Source: RNAcentral